UACGUAGGGUGCAAGCGUUAAUCGGAAUUACUGGGCGUAAAGCGUGCGCAGGCGGUUUGCUAAGACAGGUGUGAAAUCCCCGGGCUUAACCUGGGAACUGCGCUUGUUACUGGCAGGCUUGAGUGUGGCAGAGGGGGGUGGAAUUCCACGUGUAGCAGUGAAAUGCGUAGAGAUGUGGAGGAACACCGGUGGCGAAGGCGGCGUUCUGGACUGCAUCUGACACUGAAAGACGAAAGCCAGGGGAGCAAACGGG
This 253-nucleotide ribosomal RNA is filed under the name uncultured bacterium. RNAcentral describes it as "partial 16S ribosomal RNA". It matches the Rfam family "Bacterial small subunit ribosomal RNA", at positions 524 to 776 of the family's 1533-position model. The record is from RNAcentral.